AAGUCGUAACAAGGUCUCCGUAGGUGAACCUGCGGAGGGAUCAUUACAGAGUUUUUAACUCCUAAAACCAUGUGAACUUACCACUGUUGCCUCGGUGGAAGGUACCCGAAAGGGUGCUGGAAGCCGGCGGACAUCUAAACUCUUGUUAAUUUUUGUUAUUCUGAAUCAAACUAAGAAAUAAGUUAAAACUUUCAACAACGGAUCUCUUGGUUCUG
This 215-nucleotide unclassified non-coding RNA is filed under the name Microdochium sp. RNAcentral's name for it is "partial contains small subunit ribosomal RNA, internal transcribed spacer 1, and 5.8S ribosomal RNA". The stretch from base 1 to 46 matches the Rfam family "Eukaryotic small subunit ribosomal RNA", at positions 1786 to 1831 of the family's 1831-position model. The record is from RNAcentral. Lineage: Eukaryota; Fungi; Ascomycota; Sordariomycetes; Xylariales; Microdochiaceae.